CCUACGGGUGGCAGCAGUGGGGAAUAUUGGACAAUGGGGGGAACCCUGAUCCAGCGCCGCCGCGUGAGUGAAGAAGUAUUUCGGUAUGUAAAGCUCUAUCAGCAGGGAAGAAAGAAAUGACGGUACCUGACUAAGAAGCCCCUGCUAACUACCUGCCAGCAGCCGCGGUAAUACGUAGGGGGCAAGCGUUAGCCGGAUUUACUGGGUGUAAAGGGAGCGUAUACGGCGAUGCAAGUCUGAAGUGAAAGGCGGGGGCUCAACCCCUGGACUGCUUUGGAAACUGUAUGGCUGGAGUGCAGGAGAGGUAAGUGGAAUUCCGAGUGUAGCGGUGAAAUGCGUAGAUAUUAGGAGGAACACCAGUGGCGAAGGCGGCUUACUGGACUGUAACUGACGUUGAGGCUCGAAAGCGUGGGGAGCAAACAGGAUUAGAUACCCCGGUAGUC
This 443-nucleotide ribosomal RNA is filed under the name uncultured bacterium. Its description in RNAcentral is "partial 16S ribosomal RNA". It matches the Rfam family "Bacterial small subunit ribosomal RNA", at positions 338 to 795 of the family's 1533-position model. The record is from RNAcentral.